Molecule: unclassified non-coding RNA, 214 nt
Filed under: Hevea brasiliensis (rubber tree)
Lineage: Eukaryota; Viridiplantae; Streptophyta; Magnoliopsida; Malpighiales; Euphorbiaceae
Source: RNAcentral
CAUUUGGAAGAAAAUAAACUUGAGGGUAUUCCAAAUAUGAUCUAGAGGCGAAAUACUGGCAAUCAAAAUCAUCAUACAAGAGGUUUGUCAAAAAGGGACUCUAAAUGCAAGUGUGGAAGAAGGUUAUGAACUCUGAUCUGUUACCCUGUGAAUUCGCACAUAAUAGAGUUCUUUAGUUAGGCUGAAGUAAGAUAUUGUUGUUGAUGAACCAGAG